CGAACUCUGGUAUUGAUUGGUGCUUGCAUCAUGAUUUACAUUUGAGUGAGUGGCGAACUGGUGAGUAACACGUGGGAAACCUGCCCAGAAGCGGGGGAUAACACCUGGAAACAGAUGCUAAUACCGCAUAACAACUUGGACCGCAUGGUCCGAGUUUGAAAGAUGGCUUCGGCUAUCACUUUUGGAUGGUCCCGCGGCGUAUUAGCUAGAUGGUGGGGUAACGGCUCACCAUGGCAAUGAUACGUAGCCGACCUGAGAGGGUAAUCGGCCACAUUGGGACUGAGACACGGCCCAAACUCCUACGGGAGGCAGCAGUAGGGAAUCUUCCACAAUGGACGAAAGUCUGAUGGAGCAACGCCGCGUGAGUGAAGAAGGGUUUCGGCUCGUAAAACUCUGUUGUUAAAGAAGAACAUAUCUGAGAGUAACUGUUCAGGUAUUGACGGUAUUUAACCAGAAAGCCACGGCUAACUACGUGCCAGCAGCCGCGGUAAUACGUAGGUGGCAAGCGUUGUCCGGAUUUAUUGGGCGUAAAGCGAGCGCAGGCGGUUUUUUAAGUCUGAUGUGAAAGCCUUCGGCUCAACCGAAGAAGUGCAUCGGAAACUGGGAAACUUGAGUGCAGAAGAGGACAGUGGAACUCCAUGUGUAGCGGUGAAAUGCGUAGAUAUAUGGAAGAACACCAGUGGCGAAGGCGGCUGUCUGGUCUGUAACUGACGCUGAGGCUCGAAAGUAUGGGUAGCAAACAGGAUUAGAUACCCUGGUAGUCCAUACCGUAAACGAUGAAUGCUAAGUGUUGGAGGGUUUCCGCCCUUCAGUGCUGCAGCUAACGCAUUAAGCAUUCCGCCUGGGGAGUACGGCCGCAAGGCUGAAACUCAAAGGAAUUGACGGGGGCCCGCACAAGCGGUGGAGCAUGUGGUUUAAUUCGAAGCUACGCGAAGAACCUUACCAGGUCUUGACAUACUAUGCAAAUCUAAGAGAUUAGACGUUCCCUUCGGGGACAUGGAUACAGGUGGUGCAUGGUUGUCGUCAGCUCGUGUCGUGAGAUGUUGGGUUAAGUCCCGCAACGAGCGCAACCCUUAUUAUCAGUUGCCAGCAUUAAGUUGGGCACUCUGGUGAGACUGCCGGUGACAAACCGGAGGAAGGUGGGGAUGACGUCAAAUCAUCAUGCCCCUUAUGACCUGGGCUACACACGUGCUACAAUGGAUGGUACAACGAGUUGCGAACUCGCGAGAGUAAGCUAAUCUCUUAAAGCCAUUCUCAGUUCGGAUUGUAGGCUGCAACUCGCCUACAUGAAGUCGGAAUCGCUAGUAAUCGCGGAUCAGCAUGCCGCGGUGAAUACGUUCCCGGGCCUUGUACACACCGCCCGUCACACCAUGAGAGUUUGUAACACCCAAAGUCGGUGGGGUAACCUUUUAGGAACCAGCCGCCUAAG
This 1429-nucleotide ribosomal RNA is filed under the name Lactiplantibacillus plantarum. Its description in RNAcentral is "bacterial SSU rRNA". It matches the Rfam family "Bacterial small subunit ribosomal RNA". Lineage: Bacteria; Bacillati; Bacillota; Bacilli; Lactobacillales; Lactobacillaceae. The record is from RNAcentral.